Molecule: long non-coding RNA, 369 nt
Filed under: Setaria italica (foxtail millet)
Lineage: Eukaryota; Viridiplantae; Streptophyta; Magnoliopsida; Poales; Poaceae
Description: long non-coding RNA (SITA_LNC007085)
Source: RNAcentral
AAGGCGGUGGAUCUCAUAUGUAACCUUGUGAACCAAGCAAUUGAAAGCUAACUGGGAUCGCAGCAGCGACACAAGUCUACAGCCAGCAGCAGCAGAACGAAGAACCACGUCUCGUCAACACUCGUCGUGCACAUGCCGUCACCCCUCAUGGCCUCAUGAUCUGCUCGCUGACGCGAGAAGCAUGUACGCGCGAGCUACGAGCUGAGGUAUGCAAGCGUCUUCGAUCUGGAUCUUCGCCACGAUCUUCUUCUCUAACAGCCCUAGCAUGUUAAGUGGAUGCAUGGACACGAUAGUCUUGUGUUUUACUGUAGAUGACUUCACUGUCACUGACAUUAGUUUCACACAGGAUUAUAAGUAGAAUAAUGGAAC